CAUGGAGGUACAUAUAUAAGCACUCGAGCCAGAGUCUAAUACCCAACUAGAAGUAGAAGAAACCAUAAGGUUAGAUUCAAUUACGAGCAUACCUUUGAAAAGUUUAUCAUCCUUUUUGGUCUUUAAGCUCUCCAGAUAUUUUGGACAAUUCUUCCUCUAGUGGCCUUCAGCAUGAUAGUAAAAAUAUUUUUCUUUUGCUUCGACCUUAUUAGGAACUUCCUUCUUUGGCCUGC
RNAcentral lists this long non-coding RNA (233 nucleotides) under Elaeis guineensis (African oil palm). RNAcentral's name for it is "long non-coding RNA (EGUI_LNC055666)". The record is from RNAcentral. Lineage: Eukaryota; Viridiplantae; Streptophyta; Magnoliopsida; Arecales; Arecaceae.